UUGAACGCUGGCGGAAUGCUUUACACAUGCAAGUCGAGCGGCAGCGCGGGGGCAACCCUGGCGGCGAGCGGCGAACGGGUGAGUAAUAUAUCGGAACGUACCCUGUCGUGGGGGAUAACACAUCGAAAGAUGUGCUAAUACCGCAUACGACCUGAGGGUGAAAGCGGGGGAUCGCAAGACCUCGCGCGAUAGGAGCGGCCGAUAUCGGAUUAGCUAGUUGGUGAGGUAAAGGCUCACCAAGGCGACGAUCCGUAGCUGGUCUGAGAGGACGACCAGCCACACUGGAACUGAGACACGGUGCAGACUCCUACGGGAGGCAGCAGUGGGGAAUUUUGGACAAUGGGGGAAACCCUGAUCCAGCCAUUCCGCGUGAGUGAAGAAGGCCUUCGGGUUGUAAAGCUCUUUCGGCAGGAACGAAACGGUAAGGGCUAAUAUCCUUUGCUAAUGACGGUACCUGAAGAAGAAGCACCGGCUAACUACGU
This 482-nucleotide ribosomal RNA is filed under the name uncultured bacterium. RNAcentral describes it as "bacterial SSU rRNA". It matches the Rfam family "Bacterial small subunit ribosomal RNA", at positions 30 to 506 of the family's 1533-position model. The record is from RNAcentral.